Long non-coding RNA from Ornithodoros turicata, 2571 nucleotides. RefSeq lists it as uncharacterized. The record is from RefSeq and is a predicted model, not a curated record. The transcript has 2 exons. Lineage: Eukaryota; Metazoa; Arthropoda; Arachnida; Ixodida; Argasidae.
UCAGUCUAUAUGUGUGGCGACAUGCAGCACCUUCUGGUAUAGGAUUGCGGAUAACUUCGGCCAUCUGGGGAUAUUUUGAGGUGCUCUGGAAAUUUCCUACACACGGUGCUGGAAGCAAUGUUUAUCUUCUCCACAUUGCGAUGGUCCUCGACUGGGAUAGAACCCGCGAUCUGGAGCUCAUCAGCUUACAGUGCUAUUGAUGCCGGCGGCUCUGUCGAUUAAUGUUUCUCCAUCUGAGGAAUCUUCAGCCAACGCCGAAAUUUCGGGAUACGACAGAAGAAUGUUUAAAACCUCUCGCAAAGAGGGGACGCAUCUACGCUAUUUGUAUGAUGCCGCCAAUCACGGCCAUUCCCUGCUGGGCUUAUACGUGCAACAUUAGCAGCAGUUACUGGACACGUAAUCAAGUGAUUCAACGAGGCCGAGCUGUCCUAACUUGCCCAGACAUGCCGUGAUGACGUCACAGUGACGUCACAGGAUGUCCGGAACUGGUGGUCAUAGCUGCGAUGCUUUGCAACCUGCCUCUGUGCUCCGUCGCCCAGCGACGGUCAGCGGCCUUUCCGGACCGCUUUCUUCAAGAUGGCGCCGUUGAUCUUCAAUUAAACUCCUUCUCUCCACUCUAUUUCUAUCUAUUUUUUUAUUUUUUAUGGACUCUCAUAGUGCACAACGCUCAGCUGGUCUGGACACGAGUUAGACUUUCCCCAGUUAGUGUGGUGGCUCCCUGGAGGGUGCUAAUUAAUGUGGGGGGUCCCAAUUAGCUCUAAUUGCUAAUUAAAUCGUGUUCAGGCCAGUUGGGCGUUGUGCACUGUGAGAGUCCAGUACCUACUACUGAUGGCAACGACGACAAUGACGAUUCAUCUCACGCGACUCAUGUCACACGCAUUAUCAUUCUGUCCAUUAAACCGUUGCCAUCAUCACGCUGUGCUGCCCGCGUAUCACCAAAUGAUACGGGCAGCACAGCGUGAUGACGGCAAUGGUUUAAGGCCGAAUCACCCAACCCGCUCAUGUCAUCUUUCGCGAUGGAUGGCGCCACGCACUGUUGAGCCACGUGAUAUUUCUGGACCAAAAUCGGAAAUGACGAAUGCACGCGCGUUUGCGUGUCUAUACGUUGUCUGACUUUGGGUAUACUUUGGGUACUGACGGCACGAGGAGCCCGCUGGCUGCUGCUGCUUUUCAGGGUGUAGAGAAGAAAGAGAUCAAUAGUAAACACCUUGUAAAGGAAAUUGUGACACGAAAAGACAUAUAUUACUCUUUGGAAUGUGCGCCAUUUACCUGUUUAUAUCAGAAAAUCGUUUUGGAAGAGUGAUUCAGAGAGUUUGCAUUCUACAUGUUGACGAAACACACACGGUCUUUUUCUUCCUUCAUUACGACACAAUGGCUGUACUAGCUUACCAUGACCUGUACUCAGUGGCGUAGCCAGACCUCCAAGGUAGGGGGGGCUCGGUACGAAAACUCGCCCCCCCUCGCUGAUCCUGUGUCGACAACACACACAUACUUGUGCACACUGCAAACUGAGGAUUAAAAAGGAACGAAAAUAGUUGAUUUAGAGGUUCACAGUACGAUUACAUGUAUAGGCUGUCAUGACUAAUGAGGUGGUGUCACGAGAUUGGAAGUAUUUUGAAAAGCUCAUACUUUGAAAACCAUUCAAGAGUGAAUACCAGCAGUGGCGUAGUCACGGGGGGGGGGGCUAAGGGGGGCUCAAGCCCCCCCUACCUGCCACGGACCGACCCACACAAAUCGUGCAAAUCCGAGAAAAUAAUAUAUGUGUGGGGGGGGGGGGGGGACCAGUGUGACGAUCGCGAAAGUUCUUGCAGUUCAUCACGUCUAUCUAAGAAGCUUCUUAGAUAGACGUCAUGAACUGCAAGAACUGUCCCGAAAGUCCGUCCCGGCCGCCACGACGCAAAACCCAUCAGAGGAAUAGCCUGCUUUGUAUCCCACUCAUACGUCUCCCUCAGAAAUCAUUCCGUCAACUCCCCCAUCCCCCCCCCUUUCAACACUUUCCCAAACUUCCCCUUCGCAACAAGAGCAGAUCAUUAUCUUCUAUAAGUUCUGCACGUUUGCUCACUUCCCUAAGCAGCGAUAACGAAAGAUGCGAAACGCUAAGCGGGACUCCAACUUUGUUCCAUCACGCGCCUUCCAUUGCUGAUUGAGAAAACUCCAGCAAUGACAACGCCCGCAAACGCCACAUGUGCAAACGGCCACAAACAGCGCACCUAGAGAAUAUAAAUUGAGAGGCCUCGCUGUCACAUGGUUUUUGCUCGAAAGGAUAAAUGUGGUUGAAAGAUUAGUCGAUAGUUAGGGUGGGGAUAGGGAGGGCGAAGAGAAGGGCAAAAUGGGGUCGCCGACGACCGCAUGUUUUUGUGUCCCGUUUGUGCACCGUUGAAUACACUUACACCUGAGCCGACGACGCGGGGAAAUGAUUGUGCGGAGCAGUUCAUGUCAGUGGUAUGAGCGAUGCAAAGGGUUUUGUUAAGGAAGACGACAGGAUUGCAGGGACACGGGAGCUCGUGAGCUUCCGCCCUGUAUGUUCUCUUCCGCCAUUGCUGUCAAUAAAAGCUAUGCCACCGAUCCUUA